This 497-nucleotide ribosomal RNA is filed under the name uncultured bacterium. RNAcentral describes it as "partial 16S ribosomal RNA". It matches the Rfam family "Bacterial small subunit ribosomal RNA", at positions 28 to 507 of the family's 1533-position model. The record is from RNAcentral.
GAUGAACGCUGGCGGCGUUCCUAAUACAUGCAAGUCGAGCGAACAGACGAGGAGCUUGCUCCUCUGACGUUAGCGGCGGACGGGUGAGGAACACGUGGAUAACCUACCUAUAAGACUGGGAUAACUUCGGGAAACCGGAGCUAAUACCGGAUAACAUGUUGAACCGCAUGGUUCAACAGUGAAAGACGGGGUGUCUGUCACAUAUAGAUGGAUCCGCGUCGCAUUAGCUAGUUGGUAAGGUAACGGCUUACCAAGGUAACGAUGCGUAGCCGACCUGAGAGACUGUCCGCACAGACUGGAAGUGAGAGACGGUCGAGACGCGUACGGGAGGCGGCAGCCGGGACGCUGCCGCAAUGCGCGGAAGUGUGACGGAGAGCUGCUGCGCCCGUGAAGAGCGUCCCCGGUUCCUAAUGCUGGGUUCUGAGGGACUAACCGAGGUGUAAGUGGCUCUGCAGGUCUUGACGGUCCUUAACCAGAAAGCCCUGGCUACCUACGUG